This 1497-nucleotide ribosomal RNA is filed under the name uncultured Bordetella sp. RNAcentral's name for it is "partial 16S-23S ribosomal RNA intergenic spacer". It matches the Rfam family "Bacterial small subunit ribosomal RNA". Lineage: Bacteria; Pseudomonadati; Pseudomonadota; Betaproteobacteria; Burkholderiales; Alcaligenaceae. The record is from RNAcentral.
GUUUGAUCGCAGCUCAGUUGAACACUUUGGCGGGAUGCUUUACACAUGCAAGUCGAACGGCAGCACGGACUUCGGUCUGGUGGCGAGUGGCGAACAGGUGAGUAAUGUAUCGGAACGUGCCUAAUGUGAGGGGAUAACUACGCGAAAGCGUAGCUAAUACCAUACGCCCUUCGGGAAAGCAGGGGACCUUCGGGCCUCGCACUAUUAGAGCAGCCGAUAUCGGAUUAGCUAGUUGGUGGGGUAACGGCUCACCAAGGCGACGAUCCGUAGCAAGCUGGUUUGAGAGGACGACCAGCCACUGGGACGGGGCGGUCGAACUCCUACGGGAGGCAGCAGUGAAAUUUUGGACAAUGGGGGAAACCCUGAUCCAGCCAUCCCGCGUGUGCGAUGAAGGCCUUCGGGUUGUCAAAACACUUUGGCAGGAAAGAAACGUCAUUGGGUUAAUACCCCGCGAAACUGACGGUACCUGCAGAAUAAGCACCGGCCUUACGUGCCAGCAGCCGCGGUAAUACGUAGGUGCAAGCGUUAAUCGGAAUUACUGGGCGUAAAGCGUGCGCAGGCGGUUCCGGAAAGAAAGAUGUAUGAAAUCCCAGAGCUUAACUGGAACUGCAUUUUUUUUUUAACUACCGGGCUAGGGGAAUAUCAGAGGAGGUGGAAUUCCGCGUGUAGCAGUGAAGUGCGUAGAUAUGCGGAGGAACACCGAUGGCGAAGGCAGCCUCCUGGGGGACUAUUUUCGACCAUGCCUGAAAGCGUGGGAGCAAACGGGAUUAGAUGCCCUGGUAGUCCGCGCGCCUAAACGAUGUCAACUGGCUAUUUGGGGCCUUCGGGCCUUGUUAGGCGCAGCUAACGCGUGAGGGGAUUGACCACUGGGAGAUACGGUCGCAAGAUUAAAACUCAAAGGAAUUGACAGGGACCCGCACAAGCGGUGGAUGAUGUGGAUUAAUUCGAUGCAACGCGAAAAACCUUACCUACCCUUGACAUAUACUGGAAUGCCGAAGAGAUUUGGCAGUGCUCGCAAAAGAGAACCGGAACACAGGUGCUGCAUAGCUGUCGUCAGCUCGUGUCGUGAGAUGUUGGGUUAAGUCCCGCAACGAGCACAACCCUUGUCAUUGGGACCCCUUACGAAAGGGCACUCUAAUGAGACUGCCGGUGAUGAAGCCGGAGGAAGGUGGGGAUGACGUCGGAAGUCUCGUAACCCUUGUAGGUAGGGCUUCACACGUCAUACAAUGGUCGGGACAGAGGGUCGCCAACCCGCGAGGGGGAGCCAAUCCCAGAAACCCGAUCUCGUAGUCCGGAUCACCCGGUCUGGCCUCGACUGCGUGGAAGUCGGAAUCGCUAGUAAUCAUGAAUCCAGCAUGUCGCAGGCUGAAUACGUUCCCAGGUCUUGUACACACCGCCCGUCACACCAUGGGGUGGGUUUUGCAGAAGUAGUUAGCCUAACCGCAAGGGGGGCGAUUACGUGAGAUUCAUGACUGGGGUGAAGUCGUAACAAGGUAG